AUCAUCAAAACUAGUGAACACUUUACCCGAUUCAGAUCUUUUACAAAACCCCUUUUGCUCUAGGAAACCGCCUCGCCGGAAAAUCAAGAACUCCGGUGGCGCCGGAGUGAGGUUAAGGAGAGAUAUUGCAGGAGCUCCAGGUGGGAAAAGGAGCAGACCCAGUACCCCUUUACUACGAUGGAAGUAUAACGAAGACGUAAAUGACAAUGCUUGUACUUGGGAGGACAAAUCGACGGUGGAGCUUGGUCGGAAAUCUGGCCGGAAAGUUAGAAAUUUGGUUUCUGCUAGGAAAUUAGCUGCCGGACUAUGGAGGCUUCAGUUACCGGAAGUUCCUAAUAUUCCAGCUCAAAAGUUACCUCAGGCUGGUCAUAUUGAUUUACCCUUUUUCGACCAUCAUCACAUUAGAGAGAAUGAUUCACACAUUGAUGAUUCAGAGCAGAGUCCUCGAUCUGUCUCCG
Molecule: unclassified non-coding RNA, 458 nt
Filed under: Hevea brasiliensis (rubber tree)
Lineage: Eukaryota; Viridiplantae; Streptophyta; Magnoliopsida; Malpighiales; Euphorbiaceae
Source: RNAcentral